GAUGAAGAACGCAGCGAAAUGCGAUAAGUAAUGUGAAUUGCAGAAUUCAGUGAAUCAUCGAAUCUUUGAACGCACAUUGCGCCCGCCAGUAUUCUGGCGGGCAUGCCUGUCUGAGCGUCAUUUCAACCCUCAUGCCCCUAGGGCGUGGUGUUGGGGAUCGGCCAAAGCCCGCGAGGGACGGCCGGCCCCUAAAUCUAGUGGCGGACCCGUCGUGGCCUCCUCUGCGAAGUAGUGAUAUUCCGCAUCGGAGAGCGAUGAGCCCCUGCCGUUAAACCCCCAACUUUCCAAGGUUGACCUCAGAUCAGGUAGGAAUAACCGCUGAACUUAAGCAUAUCAAUAAGCGGAGGA
This 348-nucleotide unclassified non-coding RNA is filed under the name soil metagenome. Its description in RNAcentral is "partial contains 5.8S ribosomal RNA, internal transcribed spacer 2, and large subunit ribosomal RNA". The stretch from base 1 to 120 matches the Rfam family "5.8S ribosomal RNA", at positions 35 to 154 of the family's 154-position model. The record is from RNAcentral.